Molecule: ribosomal RNA, 704 nt
Filed under: uncultured Lachnospiraceae bacterium
Lineage: Bacteria; Bacillati; Bacillota; Clostridia; Lachnospirales; Lachnospiraceae
Description: bacterial SSU rRNA
Rfam family: Bacterial small subunit ribosomal RNA
Source: RNAcentral
UCUGCUGAAAGAGUCUUCGGACAAUGGAUGUAGAGGAAAGUGGCGGACGGGUGAGUAACGCGUGAGGAACCUGCCUUGAAGAGGGGGACAACAGUUGGAAACGACUGCUAAUACCGCAUGACGCAUAGGGGUCGCAUGAUCUUUAUGCCAAAGAUUUAUCGCUUCAAGAUGGCCUCGCGUCUGAUUAGCUAGUUGGCGGGGUAACGGCCCACCAAGGCGACGAUCAGUAGCCGGACUGAGAGGUUGAACGGCCACAUUGGGACUGAGAUACGGCCCAGACUCCUACGGGAGGCAGCAGUGGGGAAUAUUGGGCAAUGGGCGCAAGCCUGAACCCAGCAAGCGCCGCGUGAAGGAAGAAGGCUUUCGGGUUGUAAACUUCUUUUAAGAGGGAAGAGCAGAAGACGGUACCUCUAGAAUAAGCCACGGCUAACUACGUGCCAGCAGCCGCGGUAAUACGUAGGUGGCAAGCGUUGUCCGGAUUUACUGGGUGUAAAGGGCGUGCAGCCGGGUCUGCAAGUCAGAUGUGAAAUCCAUGGGCUCAACCCCAUGAACUGCAUUUGAAACUGUAGAUCUUGAGUGUCGGAGGGGCAAUCGGAAUUCCCUAGGNNUGUAGCGGUGAAAUGCGUAGAUAUUAGGAGGAACACCAGUGGCGAAGGCGGAUUGCUGGACGAUAACUGACGGUGAGGCGCGAAAGUGUGGGGAGC